Long non-coding RNA from Hippocampus zosterae (dwarf seahorse), 4695 nucleotides. RefSeq lists it as uncharacterized. The record is from RefSeq and is a predicted model, not a curated record. The transcript has 3 exons. NCBI's taxonomy places the organism in Eukaryota, Metazoa, Chordata, Actinopteri, Syngnathiformes, Syngnathidae.
GAUGCAAAAUGCUCUGAGGGAUUUGUGAGAAAAGGAUAUGAUUGCAUUUAUGUCCCAUCAAGCCGCUUGCUAGAUCCAGGGGAAUGCCUAAUAUACGUCUGUAUUUGGUCACCAGCUUACAUCUGUCUGCUUAUGGAUUUAUGAGUUCAAAAAAAAAAACUAUUUUGUUCAAAAAAAAAAAAAGGCCUCUCAACAGAGCCAGUGACUAAUAACUAAAAGCGACAGGGAUGGCAGUCUCACACGCGCUCAAACACACACACACAAAGUGACAACCGCGCGCAACAAAGGCGACCAAAUCUGACACAUUUUCUCUGACAGGAGGAUAACAUUCUCCCACCCCUCAAGCCUAGCAUAUAUUAUCCCGUAUACCCCAUACAUGACCCCCUCCCCGGCCUCCCAACACACGUCACUUUUCAGAUAUUUGUUCUGAAGUGUGAAUAAGGGAAAUGAUGCAAAAAAAAAAAAGAAUUUCAUCAUUCCAAUAUGUGUCUGCCGCAAUUCCAAAAGUUAUUAAUGAAGCACAAUUCAAUUUCGGUAUUAAAAAUCACUUUAUUUUCAUGAUAAUGAAUUGGGGGUAAAGCGCUAUUUCAUCUUAUAGCAAAACAGCCGCACGCUGACAUUCAUAUCGUCCCAGGAAUGACUUCAGAUAACCUCACCAGAGCCUAGACCUAAACCCGAUUGAAAAUCCAUCAAAGGUGACGCUUGGGGUGAUGUACACUGAAAAGAAAUUUAGAUUGUGACGAAUAGACCGCGCUGGGAUUGCAUUCAUGCAUUCGGCGCCAUAACCUUGUAAAUCUGUCGCCGCUCGGCCCAUUCGAAAAGUAGACGGUUUAUUAUCGCCAGCUUGCAACAUGGAAGUGAUGUCAUGGGCCUGUCUGCUCCACGACAACGCUCAUUGUUCCAGCUGCCGACGCGGGACUUCCUGUUUCUGAUAGUAAAACCCCUGAGGGGGAGGGGCAGGGAGGUGUGUUAGGGCUUGUUGUUAAACUUCCAGUUCACCGCAAACAAAUAUUACGGAUUGCAGCACACGUCUUCAUAAGUGCGGCCUUUAAUUUUAACAUUAACUUCUUUCAGUACUAGCCAAUUCUGGACAAAGUCCGAAAAGACGUUUAAAAACGUCUUUGGGAGUGAAUGAGUGAACAUGACAUAUAACUUGUAUUGCUCAAUUUUUUUUUAAAGCUACUUGAACAGCUGAACUUUAUUUGGGCUUAAUGAGAGACACUUGAUGUUGUGGAAAGUGUGUGAAUAUGAUUGAUUCAUUCUGCACCCAGCCACGAGAAGGUGUGCGUACUUAUGCAAUUUCAAAAACACUUUUUUUUUCCCCUCAUUGAGUUGCAGAGGUUAAAGGUCAUGUUAGUAGUGGGGAAAUUUAUGAAAUGAUUGAUUUUGUUUUCUUUUUUUUUAAAUAUAAAUAUCCCCCAAAACAACAAGCAUUUGUGAUUUGUACAUUUUUUUAUGUGCAUUGUGCGUCGUAAACAUCCAAGCAAUUUCACUUUUCAAAACUUCAGCCCGCCACGAUGCCUUGUUGGAAGACCAAUUGACAAACGGUGAUGUAUUUCUCGGUUUACUAUUUAUGAAGCAUGUGAUUGUUUUCUUUUGGGGUUUUUUUGGUCAGUCAUUAUCGUGAAUACGACAUCAACCAAUUGACUAAAAUGAACGUAAUGGCGUAAUUUCUGCAAGAUAAACCAAAAUCAUCAAACACUUUCCCCAAUGCGAGAAUUCAGCGCCGCAGUUUUCAUGUGUGAGAUUUUUUUUCAAAGUGUCGCCCGCGAAAUUACAGCUACAAUCAAUGCUGAUAAUACGUUCACUUCCUAUAUCGCCUCCCUCCUUUGCUUCUCAAAGGUAAUGGUCACAAUUUGCUGCUUUCACUCUCACCCGAGGGGCUCUUUCUUACUCAUUUGGAAAAUGCGAAAGAUUUUUUUUUUGUCUUUCGCCGCAACACUGAAAGCCUUUUGACCCAGCAAGUGAGGUUUUGUUGACAGAUUGAUGCUUUCACACUGACAUUAGCUUGAAUCGUCGACGUUCAGAGGCCACGGGCGCCCCCGUGGAACAAAUGCCCUUCAAUCCCCCCCCCCCCACACACACACACACACACGUACACACCCACCUCCCCCAAAUAAUCCCCUUGUGCCACUGUUAGUGUGGGGUUCUUCUCAGAGCUGCGCGGAAAACGUCGACCUAUUAUUUGCCCUUCCGUCACCAUGUCUGCCUCUUUGCUAAUCAUUAUAUUUAGCAAAGUGGCGCUUUCACCUUUUGAUAGGUGCUGUUGUGGAUGAUGCGGAUGAAUACAAAAAAAAAAAAAACGGGGAAAAAAUAACAUGAUAAGGUGGUGACACCGAUGCAAACCUUUGCAGCGGUAAAAAGAGCCCGACACGCUCAUGCAAAGAGGAGGAAACACUUUUUGAAACACUGGGAAAAUUUCAAUGUCGUGAGAGAACACAGUGCAAUGUGACGUUGGACCUGAAAUUCAAUUACGUUUUUAUUCAUGUUCAUAAAUCGUAAACUCAAACUUUUGGAAUAAACUGUACUUGUCAGCGUCGUUUUAAUGCAUAAUUUAACUUCAGUAUUUUAGUUACAAAAUGUGCCGGUAGGUGCGUGUAUUUUGGUGCGAUAUGUGCUUGGUUAGUUAAUUUAAAACCAUCCCUCAAAGUUGAAUUUUAUGAAGAUGAACCCUUUGAGGGACAUUGGUCACUACAGUGGACAGUUAAUCAUGUUAUCAGGUUACAGGGUGCAUGAAAGGGUUGAGUUUGUUUUGAGGUGAUCAUGUCACUCAUAUUUAUCGAUUUAUUCAUCAUGCUCCGAUUAAAAUAAGUCACCAGUUGCUUAUAAGUUACGCAGUACUUUAAAUAUUUUUUUGUUGUCAUUUUAUUCUAUUCUGAGUACAAUUUUUAGGCUAUGAUGCCUUCCUCCGCUUUUAUGUUGUGAAGCAGAUAGCCAGCGUCGCACUUUUUGUACCGUUCAUUUAUUUCAAACAUUUCUACCUCUCUGUGUCGAUGGAACUCGGGUGGACCAAACAAAUCGAAGAACAACGUAAAGCUAUGAGUUGCGCGUGACCGCUUAGCAAGGAGCUGAUUGGCUGACACCAAGAACAUGGCGGACACACGAUAAAAAUCAACUCACGAUUUUUAUUUCUCUAUUUUUUAAUAUCAAAUGGAGUUCCAAACGUUUUUAUCGCUCAUUUAUUUCAAACAUUUAUACCUCUCCAUCGAUGGAACUUGGGUAGACAAAACAAAUUGAAGAACGCCGUAAGGCGAUGAGUUGCACGUGACCGCUUAGCAAGGAGCCGAUUGGCUGACGCCAAGAACAUGGCGGACACACGAUAAAAUCAACUAACGAUUUUGAUAUCUUUAUUUUUUUAAUCUCUAAAGGAGUUUAUAUCAGAAAAUAACUUAAGUUUCUAUCCACACAAUUCCACCAAUGUGUCACGAAAGUGCAAGCCAGAAGUGCAAUAGCAUUGGCGUUUUGGAAUGUUUGGAUUCUGGUAAGGGCAACAGGGUAAUGUUGUCUUUACUACAAACAUGAGGUAUUGUCGAACCCCACUCGCACCGGGUCACUGCAGAGGGGAGUUCAGAGGGUCCAAAAGCUGCCCCCCUUUUUUUUUUGCCUAAGCACACACACACACACACACAUAGACAUCGCCUUGUCAAAGGAUCCUUUAUCCACUGUUUGUUUGUUUGUUUGUUUGUUUGUCCCCCCCCCCGGAGAAAAAUAAACUAUUGUUUCCUUAACUGGUGAUUAAAACGAUGGGGACGGGCAGCAAGUGUGCUGAAGCCUGAAUUGUUUGAGGUCCAGGUCUGGAUUUUGUCAAUUUUUAUGGUCGACAUCCUUAUCUUGUUCUCCACUUCCUACGUCUCCGGCUUUGAAUGCGUGUGGCUUUAAAUGAUCAUGCAGGCCGUGCCGGAGCUGAACACCUGCUUGACGCGGCCCUGCUUGAGAGCGCCACAGAGCUGGGCCAUGUUCAAGCACCGCUCUGUGACUUUAAACUCCCCCUUUAUGUUGGAGUAGAAAAGAGAAGGUGAAGGGCAGUAUGUUUGAAUGAACCCUUUCAGGGACACCGGUUACUCCAACGGACAUGUUAUAAGGUUACGGGUUAUCAUUAUUUGUGCGUGAAGGGGUUAAACAUGCGCUUGUGUUACCCAUUGUCUGGUGAGUUCCAGGAUGCUCCGUCGGGUAACGCCUGCGAGGAUGAUGCCGUUCAGGGGUGGCGUCGCAAGCUCUUCCUCUAAAUAUUGGAAACAUAAGUAAAGUCAAUUUUAUUAAAACACACCGUGAACAUAUUUUGAGCACACACAAAAAUAAUUGCAAGCAUAAAUGUCCAGGAAAAUAUUAUACAUAUGAUUGUGUCGGUCAGGAUGGGCUGACCUCCAUCCUCAUUGAUCCAGUGGACAAAGAUAUUCGAGUUUCCUGUUUCAGUGAUUUGAUGGUCCUCGCCGUACAGCCACAGAACCUGUUGACAACCAUUGUCCUCUCCCUCAGACUGUGCAACCAGGCCCCCGCAAUAGUUCCUAACAAAAAAAUAAAAAAUAACAUCACACUUAUUUGUGUGAUUUGAAUGUACACUAAUUAUCAAAUGUGCAGGCUUCCCACCCUCCCAUCUUGUAAUCUCCGGUCCCUCCUUGCCAGGCCCGUGUGUACUUUGCGUCGGCCCACAAGGAGAGGCCUUUUGGCGUCGCCUGAUAAACAGAACCCGGUAGG